UCAGAAGAUUAGGGAAAGAAAACACAGUC
Molecule: non-coding RNA, 29 nt
Filed under: Rattus norvegicus (Norway rat)
Lineage: Eukaryota; Metazoa; Chordata; Mammalia; Rodentia; Muridae
Source: RNAcentral